This 788-nucleotide long non-coding RNA is filed under the name Mytilus galloprovincialis (Mediterranean mussel). Lineage: Eukaryota; Metazoa; Mollusca; Bivalvia; Mytilida; Mytilidae. The record is from RNAcentral.
AAAAUAAUUAUCAGUCAUCUUGCAGUGACAAUAAUCAAACAAAAAUGAGAAAAUUUCAUGUCAAGAAAAUUUCAGUAUAAUAUACAUUUACUUUUUAAUUUGAUGAAUUUAAAAUGAGCCAUGAAUGUUACACAAUGAUGUGUUGUACAUAUAAACAUGAUAAAGUUGUAUAAUACUGUGUAGUUUGGUUGCUGUCACAUGAAUGUAUACCUAACAUCUCAUUGUUUUUAUAUUUCAUCUCAUAUUUGAUUUCUAUUUCAAUCAAUUAUUCUUUUUAAAAAAAGUUGAAUUUAUGGAAGCUGGCAUAUCAUGUUUUGGAUUGUUUGUCAGAUUUUCAGAAUCCUCUGGUUUUAUCCAUUUGAAUGAAAAAAUUUGCCCGGUGACCCCCAUUUUUCUUUUAAAAAAUCUUUUCCAUAUUUAAUGAUAAGCCAUCUGUAAAAGUCUUAUAAAAUUUUAAUUUCUUUUAACAGUUUUUGAGAGCUUCAACUUGUCAAUGAUAAGGCUAUGAAAGUUAAGAGAGAAUAUUUUCCUGCUAAAAUUUCAAUGACUCAUAUCUUGAAAGCAAGCACGGUGACCGAUAUAUUUUUUUUGCUCUUUGGAUUCCUUUAUUAAUUCCCUAUCAAUAUAAACUAGUGUUUCGAAAAGUUAAUUACUUUGAAACUGAGAUGUGAACUUCCUUAUAAGACUAUUAACCCAAAUAUAAAUAUCAUAUUAAAUUUAAGGAUUUUAAUCUAGGUCCUUUUUAAGUUAUUGUAGAUCAAAUUUAAGACCUUUCAAUAACAAAAUAA